CCCCUCUCAGGAUGACACCUGGAGAGUUUCCAGUACUCUACCAUUUUUGGCUAAGGGAGGGAAAGUCAAGCAGAGGCAGACUCAUUCCGUUCCUAGCUUGGUCAUUGACUUGCAAGCGGAAGGCAAUCUGCUACAAGU
Molecule: small nucleolar RNA, 138 nt
Organism: Tachyglossus aculeatus (Australian echidna)
Lineage: Eukaryota; Metazoa; Chordata; Mammalia; Monotremata; Tachyglossidae
Source: RefSeq, a predicted model, not a curated record